UUGAGUCUAUAAUGGGCACAUUUAAUUGGUAUGACUAGCUUGUCUAAAGUUCAUCUCAGAAAUUGAAUCUCCUCUCAUUGUAAAUAAAAGUACAGAUAUAAAGGAAUUAUAUAAAAUAAUUGCACUAGCCAGAGGUUCUCAAAAUGGUAUUGUGCUACCGCAUGUGUAAGAAGUAACCUUGCUCUAUGAAUUUAACAUUAGAUGGGGGCAAAUUUUUUUUUUUUUUUUUUGGUGCAAGGAACCAGUAACCAGAAAAACUAGAUGAUGGUCAACCCCAAAAAUAUUGAUGAGCGCAAUAAAAUGAUCCACAAGAUCACGCAAAUGUUGAGAGGAUAUUCUUCUUAAGGGUGAAUUCAUCUGCCUUCGCUGGGCUGAUCGACUGCACAAUAAAAGAUGAGCAAUGAGUCAGCACAACUAUUACAUGCUUAUUAAAUUCACUUUCUGAUGAUGAUGUCAACGCCCAAAAUCGAAAAGGCAAUCUAUUUACUAGAAAUCACCAAAGAAUAUUGUAUGAUUAUUUGUGACCUCAAUCAGAGAUUUUUCGCCCCAAUGCUGUCAUCUCAAAAUGUAGGAAGAUUUUGCUAAAAAGGUGUAAGAAGGAUAAACUUUUAAUUCAAAUUAUACUUCAACUGGGAGAAUGCAGUAUGUAAUGUUACCUUGUCAAGCAUGCGCUGCAGCCGCUCAAUUUCAUUUUUGGUAUAAUCAGAACCUUUGGCCAUACAGUUCUUAGCAGUUUUCACGUAAAUCUUUCCAUACCUAAUAAAACCAGGAAUAGACAUGGUCAUAUCCUAUGUUCACAAGAUCUUUAAUAAGAAAAGUCAAAUACACAAAACCUACGACAGUUUUGAGCAAUAUAUUUAUUAAAUUAAAUUUAAAAAGAACCACUGAUCCCAUGAGGUACCUUGCAGUGGAACCCUUAAGUUUCUCAACUUCCUCUUCUAUCCGAGAAACCACUGCUUUCUUUUUAUCAUCAUCGGCAGCUACAAACUCUUUCACUAAGGCAUCCAAAGAUUCAACUAUACCAGCUUUUGAGGUAAGUUGUCCUUUUCCAUCACGACUGGUUCCACACUUUUCAUUAAUGAAAUUGACAAAGUCUUCCAAGUCUCUACCACCCUCAUAUUCUUCCCCAGCUUUGUUGCCUUUUGGAAAGAAUUUAAGCGUUGGGAAUCCACUUACUCCAAACUUUUCAGCUAGAUCCCUAUAUUUGUCAGCAUCUAGAUUGGUAAUCACUACAUCUUCCUCUGAUUUAAAUGCUGUAGCUACCUUUUCAUACGUAGGAGCAAGAUUUUUGCAAUGGCCACACCAUGGUGCAUAAAACUCAACCAAAACAUCUUUGGUUUCAUCCAAGACAACCUCAUUAAAAUUAUCAGCCGUCAGCACCACUACAUUGGAUGGCACUGUAGCUAUCUUUACAUUGGUUCCUCCUUCAUUAUUCACAAACUCAGCAAGGGAUUCUGCAUUUCGUGGGCCUUCAUACUUUUUGGGCUCCAGAGAUCCUUUAGCGAACCAUUGAAUUGUUGGAUAUCCAGAAACCCCAUAUUUACUGCAUAAGCUCUUAUGCUCAUCACAGUCCACCUUUCCAAUCAAAACAGACUUUGCCUUCUUAAAGCUUGUUCCAAGUUUCUCAUACUCGGGAGCAAGCUUUUUACAAUGUCCACACCAAGGAGCGUAGAAUUCAACGAGAGCGCCUCUGUCUUGACCGACCUCCUUCUCGAAGUUAUCUUCUGUUAGCACAACGACGUCGUCUGCUAAGGCUGAUAAGGCGAAAAAGGUCAGUGUACCUAACACUAACCAGAUCUGCUGGUACUUCUCCAUCACCAUCUUUCUUUCCUUCUUUCCGCUGUUUAGCUUUCCUUGUUUUUUUAACCUCAGCUUAAAAAGGACGAGAGUCGAAUUUUAUUCGGCAUGAGAAAUGUUAAAUGAAGAAGACACUAGGUU
This 1938-nucleotide unclassified non-coding RNA is filed under the name Hevea brasiliensis (rubber tree). Lineage: Eukaryota; Viridiplantae; Streptophyta; Magnoliopsida; Malpighiales; Euphorbiaceae. The record is from RNAcentral.